RNAcentral lists this long non-coding RNA (485 nucleotides) under Papio anubis (olive baboon). RNAcentral describes it as "lncRNA (ENSPANG00000041927.1)". The record is from RNAcentral. Lineage: Eukaryota; Metazoa; Chordata; Mammalia; Primates; Cercopithecidae.
AUGCAGAUGAACUGGAAAAGAAAGGAGGUUUUCAUUUCUGUGACUGGUUACAGGGAGAAGGCCUGGAAAUUAUCACCUGACCAACUCAAAAUUACAAAGUUUUUCAGAGCUUGUGUAUCUUCUAAGCUACGUGUCUACAUAAAUUCAGUCUCAGGAGGUAAUGGCUUUGCAAAGGUGCUGGGAAGUGGUAGUAUUCUAGAUAUAUUCCGAACAUAGAGACCACAGGAUUUCCUGACAAUUGGAUGUAAGUUUAUGAAAAAAAGGCAUCAAGAAUGACCCUAAGGAUUUUGGCCUAAGCAACUGGAAAGAUAGGGUCACCAUCCUGUGAGAGAGGAUAAAGAUGAAGCAUUUUUGGGGGGCAAACCUUCCUCAAAUCUUCUAAAUUUGUUGUGCCUUCUUGUUCUUAUCAGGACCAUAUAUGCUUUAACAUCCAAGUGGUUAUAGAAUGCUAUAACCAUUCUCCUUCUCUGGGAAGUGGCUGGGGU